CCUACGGGUGGCAGCAGUCGAGAAUCAUUCACAAUGGGGGAAACCCUGAUGGUGCGACGCCGCGUGGGGGAAUGAAGGUCUUCGGAUUGUAAACCCCUGUCAUGUGGGAGCAAAUUAAAAAGAUAGUACCACAAGAGGAAGAGACGGCUAACUCUGUGCCAGCAGCCGCGGUAAUACAGAGGUCUCAAGCGUUGUUCGGAAUCACUGGGCGUAAGGCGUGCGGAGGCUGUUUCGUAAGUCGGGUGUGAAAGGCGCGGGCUCAACCCGCGGACGGCACAUGAUACUGCGAGACUAGAGUAAUGGAGGGGGAACCGGAAUUCUCGGUGUAGCAGUGAAAUGCGUAGAUAUCGAGAGGAACACUCGUGGCGAAGGCGGGUUCCUGGACAUUAACUGACGCUGAGGCACGAAGGCCAGGGGAGCGAAAGGGAUUAGAUACCCCUGUAGUC
This 446-nucleotide ribosomal RNA is filed under the name uncultured bacterium. RNAcentral's name for it is "partial 16S ribosomal RNA". It matches the Rfam family "Bacterial small subunit ribosomal RNA", at positions 338 to 795 of the family's 1533-position model. The record is from RNAcentral.